This 242-nucleotide long non-coding RNA is filed under the name Carica papaya (papaya). RNAcentral's name for it is "long non-coding RNA (CPAP_LNC013156)". The record is from RNAcentral. Lineage: Eukaryota; Viridiplantae; Streptophyta; Magnoliopsida; Brassicales; Caricaceae.
UUAUGCAGACAUAUUACAUCACAUAUGAUCAAACAGAUAGUAUCCUUGAUAAACAGAGGAAUCAAUCAUACAAAUCACCAUAGAGAUACCAGUAACACAAGCAGCACACUUUGCAAACAGAAGAACCAUCAUACAAAUCAUUAUUAGUAUUCUAAACUAUAUCUAGGUUGUAUUAAGUCUUUUACUGACUUUCACGUAAAGCCAUUACAACAUAUAUCAUCUAAGGGAAAAAAAGAUCCUCG